RNAcentral lists this long non-coding RNA (392 nucleotides) under Medicago truncatula (barrel medic). RNAcentral's name for it is "long non-coding RNA (MTRU_LNC003812)". The record is from RNAcentral. Lineage: Eukaryota; Viridiplantae; Streptophyta; Magnoliopsida; Fabales; Fabaceae.
UUUUCGUAAUUUUUUUUAAAAGAAAAAAAUUCUAAAUGGUUUUAAUAGAAAAGUGUAUCCAAAUUGAUACGUUAGACCUCUAUCAACAAAAUAAAAAAAAAAUAUAUAUAUAUAUAACAAGUAAAAAUUUCAAACGGUCCGUUUUGAAACAGAUUGUAUAACCCUUGCUGAUGCCAUUCACACUACCUCCACUCACCUCAAUGAAGUUUGAGACAUUAUUUCUCAAUGCAGAGGUCUCUUGUUUACAAAUACCGACUUUAAAGUGUCGUAUAUUAGGAGGCAAGUUAAUAGGGUUGCUCAUAGUAUAGCUAGAGCUUCUUUAUCUCAUCCUAGCCCCCAUCUUUUUUAUAGUGUACCUUCAAAUUUGUACUCUUUGUUCUUGAAUGAAAUGC